This 1017-nucleotide ribosomal RNA is filed under the name Bradynobaenus cordobensis. Its description in RNAcentral is "eukaryotic LSU rRNA". It matches the Rfam family "Eukaryotic large subunit ribosomal RNA", at positions 359 to 1100 of the family's 3401-position model. Lineage: Eukaryota; Metazoa; Arthropoda; Insecta; Hymenoptera; Bradynobaenidae. The record is from RNAcentral.
GGGAAAAAGAACUUUGAAGAGAGAGUUCAAGAGUACGUGAAACCGUUCAGGGGUAAACCUGAGGAACCCAAAAGAUCGAAUGGGGAGAUUCAUCGUCAAUGGCGCUGGCUUCGCGACGGUGAGCGAUGCUGCCGGGGCUUCGGUCCGGGCGCACGCCGCAGUCGCGCUUAUGUCCGGCGUCGUCGUCGUGCACUUCUCCCCUAGUAGGACGUCGCGACCCGUUGGGUGUCGGUCUACGGCCCGGGUGGGUGCCUAUCGCGCGUCGCUUCGGCGCACGUGGCAGACCCCCGGUCGCCCGACCGGCUGCCCGGCGGUACUCGACGGUAUCGGGCCGCACUCGAACUGCGUCCAGGCCCGCCGCAAGCGCGGUCAGCGAUACACGGAUCUCUCGGACCUCGAGCCGUCUCCGUGCCUGAUCAGCUGUUGGCAGGCGGUGCCCUCGGACAGGCCAUUUGCGCGAAUGUGCGAUACCGGUCCGCGACGCUAUUGCUUUGGGCACCCUCAGGACCCGUCUUGAAACACGGACCAAGGAGUCUAACAUGUGCGCGAGUCAUUGGGGCGCAGAAACCCAAAAGGCGUAAUGAAAGUGAAAGAGGGUCGAGGUCCACGUGGCCUCGACCCAGUGGGAGGAUGGGCUGCGUCGCGAUGCUGCCCCGCACUCCCGGGGCGUCUCGUUCUCACUGCGAGAAGAGGCGCACCAAGAGCGUACACGUUGGGACCCGAAAGAUGGUGAACUAUGCCUGGUCAGGACGAAGUCAGGGGAAACCCUGAUGGAGGUCCGUAGCGAUUCUGACGUGCAAAUCGAUCGUCGGAACUGGGUAUAGCGGCGAAAGACCAAUCGAACCAUCUAGUAGCUGGUUCCCUCCGAAGUUUCCCUCAGGAUAGCUGGCACUCGGAGGAAAACGUAUGAGCGAGUCUCAUCUGGUAAAGCGAAUGAUUAGAGGCCUUGGGGCCGAAACGACCUCAACCUAUUCUCAAACUUUAAAUGGGUGAGAUCUCUGGCUUGCUUGAAAGUUG